This 85-nucleotide transfer RNA is filed under the name Felis catus (domestic cat). It matches the Rfam family "tRNA". Rfam says of the family: Transfer RNA (tRNA) molecules are approximately 80 nucleotides in length. Lineage: Eukaryota; Metazoa; Chordata; Mammalia; Carnivora; Felidae. The record is from Rfam by way of RNAcentral.
GCCUGGGUGGCUCAGUCGGUUAAGCAUCUGACUUCGGUUCAGGUCAUGAUCCCAUAGUUCGUGGGUUCGAGCCCCACUUUGGGCU